Molecule: ribosomal RNA, 453 nt
Filed under: uncultured bacterium
Lineage: Bacteria
Description: bacterial SSU rRNA
Rfam family: Bacterial small subunit ribosomal RNA
Source: RNAcentral
AGGCAGCAGUUAGGAAUAUUGGUCAAUGGACGCAAGUCUGAACCAGCCAUGCCGCGUGAAGGAUGAAGGUCCUCUGGAUUGUAAACUUCUUUUAUAGGGGGCGAAAAAAGGGAAAUCUUUCUCACUUGACAGUACCCUAUGAAUAAGCACCGGCUAACUCCGUGCCAGCAGCCGCGGUAAUACGGAGGGUGCAAGCGUUAUCCGGAUUCACUGGGUUUAAAGGGUGCGCAGGCGGGCGUAUAAGUCAGUGGUGAAAUCCUGGAGCUUAACUCCAGAACUGCCAUUGAUACUAUAUGUCUUGAAUAUGGUGGGGGUAAGCGGAAUAUGUCGUGUAGCGGUGAAAUGCAUAGAUAUGACAUAGAGCACCUAUUGCGAAGGCAGCUUACUACGCCUAUAUUGACGCUGAGGCACGAAAGCGUGGGGAUCAAACAGGAUUAGAUACCCGAGUAGUCC